This 377-nucleotide ribosomal RNA is filed under the name uncultured bacterium. RNAcentral's name for it is "bacterial SSU rRNA". It matches the Rfam family "Bacterial small subunit ribosomal RNA", at positions 521 to 896 of the family's 1533-position model. The record is from RNAcentral.
UAAUACGUAGGUGGCAAGCGUUAUCCGGAAUUAUUGGGCGUAAAGCGCGCGCAGGCGGUUUCUUAAGUCUGAUGUGAAAGCCCACGGCUCAACCGUGGAGGGUCAUUGGAAACUGGGAAACUUGAGUGCAGAAGAGAAAAGCGGAAUUCCACGUGUAGCGGUGAAAUGCGUAGAGAUGUGGAGGAACACCAGUGGCGAAGGCGGCUUUUUGGUCUGUAACUGACGCUGAGGCGCGAAAGCGUGGGGAGCAAACAGGAUUAGAUACCCUGGUAGUCCACGCCGUAAACGAUGAGUGCUAAGUGUUAGAGGGUUUCCGCCCUUUAGUGCUGCAGCUAACGCAUUAAGCACUCCGCCUGGGGAGUACGGUCGCAAGACUG